GCGGGUGUAGUUCAUCGGUAGAACGUGACCUUCCCAAGGUCGAGAGGCGGGUUCGACUCCCGUCACCCGCUCCA
This 74-nucleotide transfer RNA is filed under the name Microlunatus soli. RNAcentral's name for it is "tRNA_Gly_CCC". It matches the Rfam family "tRNA". From Rfam's summary of the family: Transfer RNA (tRNA) molecules are approximately 80 nucleotides in length. Their secondary structure includes four short double-helical elements and three loops (D, anti-codon, and T loops). Lineage: Bacteria; Bacillati; Actinomycetota; Actinomycetes; Propionibacteriales; Propionibacteriaceae. The record is from RNAcentral.